UACUAGUUGUAUAGACACCUUUAAAUAGGUGGGAGACUUUUAUGUGUGAAAUAUUAAUAAAGCAUCAAUAUCGUAAACAUUAAUGUUAGUGUGUAUAAUAAUACAAGUGCAUCUGUAUGAAUGAUGGUGACAUGUGUAGAACAGCAGCUCCUGACUGGUUCAGUGUGUUUGCAUAUGUGUGCUGCCUCUCUGCUUCCAGCAGUUAAAGCUCAGUGUUGAUCAGUGGCUGUCCAGACCUUUCAGAGACUCGGACUCGCCCGCAGCACAAUGAUGAUGUCACUGACUCUGCUGCUCUUCACCCUGGAGCUCCUCGUUCAGGCUUCAUCAGAAGAACUGCUGACUCAGACUACUGGAGCUCAGUCUGUUGUUCAAGGACAGACUGUCUCCAUCAGAUGUAAAUCCAGUAGAAGCCCUGGCUACAACUUCAACUGGUAUCUUCAGAAACAAGGAGAAGUCCCUAAACUUCUUGUUUGUUGUACAAGCACUCGUCAGUCUGGAGUUUCUGAUCGUUUCAGUGGAUCAAACUCUGGAUUAGAUUACACUCUGACCAUCAGUGGAGUUCAGCCUGAAGAUUCAGGAGUUUAUUACUGUCAGACUGGAUACUACAUCAACAGUCAAGCUGUGUUCACACAGUGAAAAACCGUCGUACAAAAACCUCCAUCAGAAACUGAACUGAGAAUGAAACAGUUCAAUGAACACCCCCACCCCACACCCCCAUACACACACUCACACACAUCUACAAUUUAUUCAGUUGAUUUUACACUUCAUAGAAGUUGGUAUCAUUGAUCUAUUUUAAUGUAUUUAAUUUAUCUAUCAAACUUAGUUUUAUUUCUGACUCCAGAUCACACUGACUCUGCUUUCUUUUUAUUUCUCGGGUUGAGAACAUUUAUUUAAACAUCUGAAUUGUUCCUGCUUUAAUUUGACUGAUUCUCUCUCAAGUUUGGAUUGUUCUAUCUAUAUGUUCAUUUAAUCUGAACAUAAACUAGCUCUUAAAACAUUUUUUUAUCUCUUGUAAUGUGUUAGAAAGCUGCCCUUAUCUUUACAUUUCUAUUCUAUUCUAUUCUAUUUUCUUGUAGUUAACUUAGUUUGUAUUCAUAUCCAUGGAGACACUGUUUGAAUUAUUUCUUGGCUUAACAGACAAUUUAUUCUUCAAUAUAACUCCUGUUUUCAAUUACAAAAUCCAUUGAGAUUCAUUUUUCCCGUUUCCUAUAUGGAUUACAUUCAUAGUUGCAAUAUUUUGGAUUUAUAAAAUGAUAGAUUACAUCAAACCAACAUAAAUAUAUUUCCUUUUUUUAAAUAAGUAACACUAGGGCCAUCUUUGGUAUUAAAAUCAAAACCAACCUGUAUAAAAAAAAAACAAAAAAAAC
Molecule: non-coding RNA, 1367 nt
Organism: Oryzias melastigma (Indian medaka)
Lineage: Eukaryota; Metazoa; Chordata; Actinopteri; Beloniformes; Adrianichthyidae
Source: the annotation of a RefSeq genome assembly